UGAAACGCUAUGAUAGGAAUGAGUAGUGAAACAAUCCCUGUAUUCAGAGAGCCGGUGGCUGGUGGAAACCGGUACAUAUUGUUUGAUGAAUUACCUCCUUGAGCAUCUGCUGUGAACCAUACAGGCUAGCGGCAGGCGGAUUGCGGCCGUUAUCCGUAUUAAGCGGAGGACAGGAGUGUCCUCAAGUUGGGUGGUACCGCGAACUUAUUCGUCCCUUCA
RNAcentral lists this non-coding RNA (219 nucleotides) under Bacillus sp. (in: firmicutes). RNAcentral describes it as "Bacillus sp. T-box sequence". It matches the Rfam family "T-box leader". From Rfam's summary of the family: Uncharged tRNA acts as the effector for transcription antitermination of genes in the T-box leader family. T-boxes are found upstream of many aminoacyl-tRNA synthetase genes and some amino acid biosynthetic genes usually in Gram-positive bacteria. The anticodon of a specific tRNA base pairs to a specifier sequence within the T-box motif, and the NCCA acceptor tail of the tRNA base pairs to a conserved bulge in the T-box antiterminator hairpin. The record is from RNAcentral. Lineage: Bacteria; Bacillati; Bacillota; Bacilli; Caryophanales; Bacillaceae.